Molecule: ribosomal RNA, 529 nt
Filed under: uncultured bacterium
Lineage: Bacteria
Description: bacterial SSU rRNA
Rfam family: Bacterial small subunit ribosomal RNA
Source: RNAcentral
UUAUACAUGCAAGUCGAACGGUAACAGUACCUUCGGGUAGCUGACGAGUGGCGCACGGGUGCGUAACGCGUAUACAAUCUGCCCACAACAGGGGAAUAGCUCAGAGAAAUCUGAAUUAAUACCCCAUAAUACAGGGAUACCGCAUGGUAAUAUUUGUUAAAGGCUUCGGUCGGUUGUGGAUGAGUAUGCGUCCCAUUAGUUAGUAGGCGAGGUGACGGCUCACCUAGACAAUGAUGGGUAGGGGUUCUGAGAGGAAGGUCCCCCACACUGGUACUGAGAUACGGACCAGACUCCUACGGGAGGCAGCAGUAGGGAAUAUUGGGCAAUGGACGCAAGUCUGACCCAGCCAUGCCGCGUGCAGGAAGAAUGCCUUAGGGUUGUAAACUGCUUUUAUAUGCGAAGAACAAGGGGCUUGCGAGCCCCCCUGACGGUAGCAUAUGAAUAAGCACCGGCUAACUCCGUGCCAGCAGCCGCGGUAAUACGGAGGGUGCAAGCGUUGUCCGGAUUCAUUGGGUUUANAGGGUACGUA